Molecule: non-coding RNA, 148 nt
Filed under: Gorilla gorilla gorilla (western lowland gorilla)
Lineage: Eukaryota; Metazoa; Chordata; Mammalia; Primates; Hominidae
Source: Rfam by way of RNAcentral
GCUGGGCAUGGUGGUGUGUGCCUGUGGUCCCAGCCACUGAGGAGGCUGAGGCAGGAGGAUCACUUGAGCCCAGGAGUUGGAGGCUGCAGUGAGCUGUGAUCAUGCCACUGCACUCCAGCCUGGGUGACACAGUGAGAUCUUGUCUCAA